RNAcentral lists this transfer RNA (33 nucleotides) under Protophormia terraenovae (northern blowfly). RNAcentral describes it as "tRNA-Leu". The record is from RNAcentral. Lineage: Eukaryota; Metazoa; Arthropoda; Insecta; Diptera; Calliphoridae.
ACUAUUUUGGCAGAUUAGUGCAAUUUAUUAUUU